CGGGGUGUGGCGCAGCUGGUAGCGCGGUAGCUUUGGGAGCUUCAGGCCGCAGGUUCGAGACCUGCCACCCCGACCA
Molecule: transfer RNA, 76 nt
Filed under: Variovorax sp. RA8
Lineage: Bacteria; Pseudomonadati; Pseudomonadota; Betaproteobacteria; Burkholderiales; Comamonadaceae
Description: tRNA-Pro
Rfam family: tRNA
About the family: Transfer RNA (tRNA) molecules are approximately 80 nucleotides in length. Their secondary structure includes four short double-helical elements and three loops (D, anti-codon, and T loops).
Source: RNAcentral